RNAcentral lists this long non-coding RNA (3375 nucleotides) under Sus scrofa (pig). Its description in RNAcentral is "lncRNA (ENSSSCG00060015867.1)". The record is from RNAcentral. Lineage: Eukaryota; Metazoa; Chordata; Mammalia; Artiodactyla; Suidae.
AGAGACCCGUGAUUGAGAUCUUCCCUGUCGUUUAGAAGAGGGUGCUGGGAGUGCUGUGAGCAGAGAGGAAAAACAGAAUCAAGCGGAGGGCAAUAGAAUUCCAGAGCUGGAUUUCCUGAAGAUUUUCAUGUGCUAACGUGCACUGUGAUCUUCCUGAGGAGAGACAGUGUUACCCAAGAGAUUUAUUCUCUUGGUCCUCUUGUGGACUCAGCAUAUCCCUUUGGACCUGAUGGAUAAAGAAAGGAGCCAUAUGCCUCUUAGUCAUAAAAAGAGAACAUUCGAAGGACCAUUCAAGCAAAUACGUCUAAGCCACUGAGAUAUUGUUAAUUGGCGAAGACAGAUGCAGAGAGGAGCUCAGACAGAAGGAGCUGAGAUUUUCUAUUCCUCAUCUGAAGGUGCCUGGGUUCCAGGAGAUCCACCCCGGAAACCUGGCCAAUUAGCUGUCGAUGUCGCUCAAGAUCAAAACACCACCUAUAAAGAAACUAAUGCUGAGAGAAGUUAAAUAAUAUGCUCAAGGACAUACAAGUUAUAUGGCAGAGCUGGGAUUCCCUUCAGUAAUUCAACUUUAUGUCCUAAACCUUAAUCAUUAUGUUCCUGGAUACACAGUACUUCCUAACACAGGUAAGUGGAAUCCCUAUUUGCAAGUAACCCUAAGAACAUACCAAGCUAGGGAUCCAGAGGGGUCUGUGGAAGUGCUGACUGUUAGAAAGUGAAGCAUAUACCAUCCUGGGAUAGAUACAGUCCUCUGGUUUAAAGGGAUAGGAGAAGCAAACUGAGACAGACUUCAGCGUCAGUGGUGGCUGGGCACAGAUGCAUGGUUAGAAGGACUAGGAAUGGUAUCUUCCCAGUGGUCCAUAAUUGAGUUUUGCAUCCUACUGUUGAACCCAUUUUGAAGAAAGUAUGUAGUGAUGGUCUUUGAGCCUAAACUUUCUCGCUCUCUGCUUAGCCAGACAGGCAUCAUUCAUCAUGUUAGUGCUCACAUCCAAUAUUGGUAUCAACUGAGUAGUAAAAUAGUAAUCAUUUUUUUUGUUUGAUAGAUGAGUUUAAACAAGUAUUUUUAUUUCAUCUGUAGGAAACUAUAAUGAAAUGGAACUAGCCUUCCAAAUGCAGGUUGCACUAUGUAAUUAGGUAGAUAAACAUGGCUAUAGAAGUUAGAACUGCAUGAACUUUUAACAAAGAGCAAAGAGAGUAUUAUAGUCAUUUAUUGGUGAGGAUGUAAUUCUUACCAUGGUCAAAGGAACAACGUUUUCUUGAUGAUAGCUUUACCUCUAGCUUUAGUAAAUACGUGACUUUGUAUACUGCCCUGAGUGUGUUUUCAGUUGAAGAUAGUUAUCAUUCAUUUUCACUUUUGACAUCAGAAGAAGUCACGGAUGUAAACCUCUUGCUCAUUUAAGUUUUCUUAAGUAGUGCCUUGAUUUCAAGUGGAAAAGAAACAAAAUUUAUGGUACAAAACAGAAGCCUGACUCUAAUGUUUUAUACACAAGGUUUGGGUCUUUCUUUGAAGUGAAGGAGAGUCUGAAAAAAAAUGUGAUCCUUUUCUAUGCUGUAUCUCCUCCAGUCUUUUUAGUGGAAGUUGUAGUUUAGUGAAAGUUGAGUUGUAGAGUGUCCACUCAAGCCAAGUUUCUCCUAGGUAUUUCUUCCCCCUUGAGUGCUCUAGUCAUCCUGUCAAUCAUUUUAUGUGUUUUAAUGUGUUUUAUGUAGUUGGCAUGUGCUUCAAAGGUAGCUAUGAAAAUGAUGGUGCUGUAAUACCCUUGCACAAAUAUCUUUAAGCAUUAGCAAGUAGGCCUGUGGGCGAGAAACCGAAAGGCAGGACUACUGCGCCAAAGUGUACAUGCAUUCGAAUGCAAUGAACAUUAGGAAAUUAUAUUGCAAAAUGUUUUGUUUUCUCUCUUACAUGGAGGGCAUGAAAGUGUCCAUUUUCCGGUAUUUUUGUCAUCAUCAGAUAUUAUUAUUUUUAAAUUUUUGUACAGCUGAUGGGUGAAAACUGUCAUCUUAGUGUUGCUUUAAUUUUUUCCAGUUCCUCAGUCACCACAAAGUUGAAUAUCCUUUAGUAUUUAUUAGUGACUUGCUCUCUUCUUUUUUUGAACUAUCGGUUCAAAUCCUUUGUGUAUUUUUCUAGUGGUUCUAAUGUGUUGUUCUUAGAGUUGUAAGAGCUAUUAAUGAGUAUUGAUUUUUUUUGGUAAAUAUUUUCCUCCACUUGUUCCUUGUUUAUUGAAGAUCCUUAUGAUGUCUUUCAAAGUAUCUGAGUUGAAAUAUUUAGUUAGUAAAAUCAACUGACAUUUGUAUAUAUGUCCUUUGAGUUUUGUGUGUUACUUAAAAAGACUUUCGUGUCUCUCUCUCUCUCUCUCUCUCUCUCUAUAUAUAUAUAUAUAUAUAUCCUAUAGUUUUUUCUAGUGCUUUGUGUUCACAACUCAAGCCAUAAUUUAUUAAUGAUCUUCUUAACAUCUAUUUCCUUCUAACGCCUUUUGAAGCUUCUCUUAUUCAUUUGAGUCUUUCAUUUGUAUAUAUAAUGAAAUAUAUAGCUAAGUUUUUCAAUGGAUAUCUAAUAUUUCCAACUGCGUUUUAAGCAGCACAUAAUUUUACCUCUAAAUUGAAGUAUCAUCUUUAUCACAUAAUAAAUUCUUAUGUAUGUUCAUUUCCAGACUUUUAUAUUCUGUUCCAAUUUAUUUGUUUGUUCCUGACAGUCACCCCAUUGUUUUAAUAAGUGUAACUUUAUAUUUUGAACUUGGUACGCUGAGUCUUGUGGGGUUUUUUGAUGCAGAAUUUUUUGGCUAUUCUUGGAAGGUACUCUUUUUGUUAACUUUAGGAACAGCUAGUAAAUAUCCUUUCGAAAAAUCUCAGUGGAGUUUUGAUUGAAACCAUGUAGUAUAUAUAGAUCUACUAGAGAAAAGAAAGUCAUCUUUCCAAGCAAGGGUGUCUCCUUGCCCAGGGUGUCUGCCAGCAUAUUAUCAAGAACUGGUGCCACAAAAAUGUUUGAGUUGCUCAACACACUCCCAAAGUUAACACUGAAGAAAAAUAUUUCUUUCUUAAUGAAUGUUAAGUCUACACCCUGCCUCAUUUCAUCUGCAAAAUGAAACUAAGAUCUUAGGAUGGCUGCCUGGGGAAGUUCUGGGCCUGUCAUUUGAGAAGCUUUGCCAUCUGGCUCUAGAAGUGAUUCAUAGUCGGAUCCUGCAUGAUGUCAAAAUGUUGAAAAAAUUAUAAAAACCUUGAACUAGAUUAUUUAGGUUAGAUUCAUUAUAUUUUCAGUGAAGACUAAUUGUAUUAGUUUGUCUAACUUUUAUCUAAGGCUGUGCAUGCAUAGCUCUGAGAGUGCUGCCCAAUUCAGUUGAUUUUCAUUCAGAAAAAUUAUCAGUAAAAUUCCAAAAAAAAAAAAAA